UGCAAGUUCAACUCCAUUUUUCUCACAGUGC
RNAcentral lists this non-coding RNA (31 nucleotides) under Mus musculus (house mouse). The record is from RNAcentral. Lineage: Eukaryota; Metazoa; Chordata; Mammalia; Rodentia; Muridae.